UACGGGGGUGGCAAGCGUUGUUCGGAAUUACUGGGCGUAAAGGGCGCGUAGGCGGCGCGACAAGUCAGAUGUGAAAGCCCCGGGCUCAACUCGGGAAUUGCAUCUGAAACUGUCAUGCUUGAGUUCUGGAGGGGGUAGUGGAAUUCCCAGUGUAGCGGUGAAAUGCGUAGAUAUUGGGAGGAACACCUGCAGCGAAGGCGGCUACCUGGACAGUAACUGACGCUGAGGCGCGAAAGCUAGGGGAG
This 245-nucleotide ribosomal RNA is filed under the name uncultured bacterium. RNAcentral describes it as "partial 16S ribosomal RNA". It matches the Rfam family "Bacterial small subunit ribosomal RNA", at positions 524 to 768 of the family's 1533-position model. The record is from RNAcentral.